Molecule: transfer RNA, 85 nt
Filed under: Verrucomicrobiaceae bacterium
Lineage: Bacteria; Pseudomonadati; Verrucomicrobiota; Verrucomicrobiia; Verrucomicrobiales; Verrucomicrobiaceae
Description: tRNA-Leu
Rfam family: tRNA
About the family: Transfer RNA (tRNA) molecules are approximately 80 nucleotides in length. Their secondary structure includes four short double-helical elements and three loops (D, anti-codon, and T loops).
Source: RNAcentral
GCCGGCAUGGCGAAAUGGUAGACGCAACGGACUUAAAAUCCGUUGGUGGGUGACCACCGUGUGGGUUCGAGUCCCACUGCCGGUA